This 240-nucleotide long non-coding RNA is filed under the name Ananas comosus (pineapple). RNAcentral describes it as "long non-coding RNA (ACOM_LNC026099)". Lineage: Eukaryota; Viridiplantae; Streptophyta; Magnoliopsida; Poales; Bromeliaceae. The record is from RNAcentral.
CCAAGUCUAUUACGAACUCGAUUUUUUGAUCCGGCGGUAUCCUCGGUAACUCUAUGGGAAAUACGUCCGAAUACUCUCGAACCACGAAAACAUCUUCGAGCGCCAGAGUCUCCCUACAGACCACCACCACGGCUGCCAAAUAAGCCGCGCAACCGCCACUGACCAUCUUCCUCGCCCUCGACGCCGACACUGUCACGGCGAAGAGCGAACUCUUACACGCUCGAUAGGUGAACUUCUCUU